GACGAACGCUGGCGGCGUGCUUAACACAUGCAAGUCGAACGGAAAGGCCCUGCUUUUGUGGGGUGCUCGAGUGGCGAACGGGUGAGUAACACGUGAGUAACCUGCCCUUGACUUUGGGAUAACUUCAGGAAACUGGGGCUAAUACCGGAUAGGAGCUCCUGCUGCAUGGUGGGGGUUGGAAAGUUUCGGCGGUUGGGGAUGGACUCGCGGCUUAUCAGCUUGUUGGUGGGGUAGUGGCUUACCAAGGCUUUGACGGGUAGCCGGCCUGAGAGGGUGACCGGCCACAUUGGGACUGAGAUACGGCCCAGACUCCUACGGGAGGCAGCAGUGGGGAAUAUUGCACAAUGGGGGGAAGCCUGAUGCAGAAACGCCGCGAGCGGGAUAACGGCCUUCGGGUUGUAAACAGCUUUCGCCUGUGAUGAAGAGUGAGUGACGGUAAUGGGUAAAGAAGCACCGGCUAACUACGUG
Molecule: ribosomal RNA, 468 nt
Filed under: uncultured bacterium
Lineage: Bacteria
Description: partial 16S ribosomal RNA
Rfam family: Bacterial small subunit ribosomal RNA
Source: RNAcentral